UUAGGCGGAAUCACUGGGCUUAAAGCGUGUGUAGGCGGAUCGUUAAGUGCCUUGUGAAAUCCCACGGCUUAACCGUGGAACUGCUCGGCAUACUGGCGGUCUUGAGCAACCUAGGGGCGAGCGGAACAAAUGGUGGAGCGGUGAAAUGCGUAGAUAUCAUUUGGAACGCCAAUGGUGAAAACAGCUCGCUGGGGGUUUGCUGACGCUGAGACACGAAAGCCAGGGGAGCGAACGGG
This 236-nucleotide ribosomal RNA is filed under the name uncultured bacterium. Its description in RNAcentral is "partial 16S ribosomal RNA". It matches the Rfam family "Bacterial small subunit ribosomal RNA", at positions 541 to 776 of the family's 1533-position model. The record is from RNAcentral.